AAAGCCCGUCCAGUAGAGCCUGACCAGCAACUGGAAGAGAGUCUUGCGUGGUGGCAGGGUAACCUGUCCUGCGAAGCGUAGAUAUCGAGUCCGAAAGCCAUGCUAUUGAGCGUCGAAAGACCAUUCGUGGGAGCCUUUGCCUUUGUACCACCAAGGGCCACGCUGCGGUACCGUUAUGGUCUGGUAUCAACAGUCCUGCCGGCGUCGGAAUGGA
This 214-nucleotide non-coding RNA is filed under the name Bythopirellula goksoeyrii. The record is from RNAcentral. Lineage: Bacteria; Pseudomonadati; Planctomycetota; Planctomycetia; Pirellulales; Lacipirellulaceae.